AACGAACGCUGGCGGCAUGCCUAACACAUGCAAGUCGAACGAGACCUUCGUGUCUCGUUUCGCACGGGUGCGUAACGCGUUGUAACCUGCCUUUAUGUUCGGAAUAACUCCCCUAAAGGGGUGCUAAUACCGUAUAAUGUCUUCCGACCAAAGAUUUAUCGCCUUUGGAUGGGCCCGCGUUGGAUUUGCUAGUUGGUAUGGUAAAAGCCUACCAAUGCGACGAUCCAUAGCUGGUCUGAGAGGAUGCUAAGCCACACUGGGACUGAGACACGGCCCAGACUACUACGGGAGGCAGCAGUGGGGGAUAUUGGACAAUGGGAGAAAGAAUGAUCAAGCAAGGACGGGUGAGUGAUGAAGGCACUAGGGUGGUAAAGAUCUUUUAUACGAGAUGAUACUGACAGAACCGGGAGAAUAAGCUCCGGCUAACUCCGUG
This 433-nucleotide ribosomal RNA is filed under the name uncultured bacterium. RNAcentral describes it as "partial 16S ribosomal RNA". It matches the Rfam family "Bacterial small subunit ribosomal RNA", at positions 29 to 507 of the family's 1533-position model. The record is from RNAcentral.